UACGUAGGGUGCAAGCGUUAAUCGGAAUUACUGGGCGUAAAGCGUGCGCAGGCGGUUGUGCAAGACAGAUGUGAAAUCCCCGGGCUCAACCCGGAAAGGUCAACUGAUACUGUGCGACUAGAGUGCGGAAGGGGCAACUGGAAUUCUCGGUGUAGCGGUGAAAUGCGUAGAUAUCGAGAGGAACACCUGCGGCGAAGGCGGGUUGCUGGGCCGACACUGACGCUGAUGCGCGAAAGCCAGGGGAGCGAACGGG
Molecule: ribosomal RNA, 253 nt
Filed under: uncultured bacterium
Lineage: Bacteria
Description: partial 16S ribosomal RNA
Rfam family: Bacterial small subunit ribosomal RNA
Source: RNAcentral